RNAcentral lists this ribosomal RNA (599 nucleotides) under Vibrio europaeus. RNAcentral's name for it is "bacterial SSU rRNA". It matches the Rfam family "Bacterial small subunit ribosomal RNA", at positions 1 to 579 of the family's 1533-position model. Lineage: Bacteria; Pseudomonadati; Pseudomonadota; Gammaproteobacteria; Vibrionales; Vibrionaceae. The record is from RNAcentral.
AAAUUGAAGAGUUUGAUCAUGGCUCAGAUUGAACGCUGGCGGCAGGCCUAACACAUGCAAGUCGAGCGGAAACGAGUUAACUGAACCUUCGGGGAACGUUAACGGCGUCGAGCGGCGGACGGGUGAGUAAUGCCUAGGAAAUUGCCCUGAUGUGGGGGAUAACCAUUGGAAACGAUGGCUAAUACCGCAUAAUGCCUUCGGGCCAAAGAGGGGGACCUUCGGGCCUCUCGCGUCAGGAUAUGCCUAGGUGGGAUUAGCUAGUUGGUGAGGUAAGGGCUCACCAAGGCGACGAUCCCUAGCUGGUCUGAGAGGAUGAUCAGCCACACUGGAACUGAGACACGGUCCAGACUCCUACGGGAGGCAGCAGUGGGGAAUAUUGCACAAUGGGCGCAAGCCUGAUGCAGCCAUGCCGCGUGUAUGAAGAAGGCCUUCGGGUUGUAAAGUACUUUCAGCAGUGAGGAAGGUGGUGUAGUUAAUAACUGCAUCAUUUGACGUUAGCUGCAGAAGAAGCACCGGCUAACUCCGUGCCAGCAGCCGCGGUAAUACGGAGGGUGCGAGCGUUAAUCGGAAUUACUGGGCGUAAAGCGCAUGCAGGUGGU